UAGAGCGCCUCGGUGAGCUCGGGCCCCACGAAUCCCCUGCGGCCGGUCAUUGCGUUGAUGGCCGGAACCAACGCGAGGGUUUUGGUUUAGAGUUAGGGUUUCUCCUGACGGGCACAGGGCCGCGGUUGAUGAGGAAACAUCUCUUACAGGUUGGAAACGAUACGGUGGUAGGGCUUUUUCUUGGAAAUGACGUGAGAUUUUCUCGGUAAAAUGCGAGAAACUGGUACGAAAGCAUGGAGUGAGGCUGUCUCUCAAAUCUCUUUUAUAGGUCAUUCGUUUUCCAGUUUUCUUGAGCGUUUCUUGGACGUUGUGCUGAAUAGAGCCUACUACCGAUCGUCCCCACGAGUGCGAGGCUGUCUCUCAAAUCUCUUUUAUAGGUCAUUCGUUUUCCAGUUUUCUUGAGCGUUUCUUGGACGUUGUGCUGAAUAGAGCCUACUACCGAUCCUCCCCACGAGUGCUAAGCUAAC
Molecule: long non-coding RNA, 467 nt
Filed under: Vitis vinifera (wine grape)
Lineage: Eukaryota; Viridiplantae; Streptophyta; Magnoliopsida; Vitales; Vitaceae
Description: long non-coding RNA (VVIN_LNC007555)
Source: RNAcentral